This is a long non-coding RNA of Lagopus muta (rock ptarmigan), 976 nucleotides long. RefSeq lists it as uncharacterized. NCBI's taxonomy places the organism in Eukaryota, Metazoa, Chordata, Aves, Galliformes, Phasianidae. The transcript has 3 exons. The record is from RefSeq and is a predicted model, not a curated record.
CUCAGGGGUCAGCUGAAGGUUUAGGGGCGAUCCUGGGGGUCUCCGGGGUCUCCUACUGCCCCGCCGCCGCGGAGCUGCCCACGCGCGAGGCGCUGUCCCGGUGCUGAAACGCGCGGCCGCCGCCGCGGCGCUGUUGGGCUCCUGUUGAUGUUCGCCGAUUAAUGUCAACGAGCCGGGUUUGUUGUUGUUGUUCUUUUGUUUGGUUUUGUUUGGUUUUGUUGUUUGUUUGCUUGUUUGUUUGUUUCUUCAUGGAGGAAUUCCGUUCCACAUCUCUGCUUCUGAUGUCUUCUCAAAGUGUUCAUCAGAGAGUGGUGGUGAAAUUUUGCUGUUCCUGCAUUUCAUCCUUGAAAACAGUUGUUCACAGAUGUGCAUACUGCCAAAAAGCAACGGCAGGAGAACGUCAUGACUGUGAAGCGGGGGAUCUUGUUCUCUGGCAAGACAGGUGUUUUGCAAUUCUGAUGAAGAGGGAACAGAGAACCUUCGUGUGGCGGUUUAACAGCAGCAGGGAGCUCAGCACCCUGCUCACCCCUGGCCCCUUCGAAACAGAAUGGGGAGAAAAUAUGAUGAAAAGCUGACAGCCUGCAAAGAAUAGUUCUCUUUGGAGCCUCUUUGGUGCCCAGCCUUGUUUAUCUUGUCUGCCCUUGCCCACCUCUCCUGGGGCUGCCAGGCCUCUGGCUCCAGUCAGAGCUGUCUGCGUUGAGGACAGAGCGGUGCUUCCCCUGUGCUUCCUGCCAGGAGGAGCAGCUCUGCUGCCAUAGGCAGCUCUCCACACGCUGGGGUUACCUGACGGCCUCGUCCCAGGGACGCUGCCUCAACUUGGAAGCAGCUGAAGAACAAAGCUUUUACCGCCUCUUCUUGUCAACGGGACCUUCAGACUGAGCUUCCUUCUUUGCAGCGCUGCCCUGCGCCUUCUUGGCCCUGGAGAAAGCCUCACGGGGCACAGAGAAGCAACAACCUCCUCAAUAAAAGCACAAAG